RNAcentral lists this ribosomal RNA (387 nucleotides) under uncultured bacterium. RNAcentral describes it as "bacterial SSU rRNA". It matches the Rfam family "Bacterial small subunit ribosomal RNA", at positions 28 to 416 of the family's 1533-position model. The record is from RNAcentral.
GACGAACGCUGGCGGCGUGCUUAACACAUGCAAGUCGAGCGGUAAGGCCCUUUCGGGGGUACACGAGCGGCGAACGGGUGAGUAACACGUGGGUGACCUGCCCUCAGCUCUGGGAUAAGCCUGGGAAACCGGGUCUAAUACUGGAUAUGACUCCAUGACGCAUGUUGUGGGGUGGAAAGCCUUGUGCGGCUGAGGAUGGGCCCGCGGCCUAUCAGCUUGUUGGUGGGGUGANGGCCUACCAAGGCGACGACGGGUAGCCGGCCUGAGAGGGCGACCGGCCACACUGGGACUGAGACACGGCCCAGACUCCUACGGGAGGCAGCAGUGGGGAAUCUUGCGCAAUGGGGGCAACCCUGAUCCAGCCAUGCCGCGUGAGUGAAGAAGGCC